This is a long non-coding RNA of Mangifera indica (mango), 531 nucleotides long. RefSeq lists it as uncharacterized. The record is from RefSeq and is a predicted model, not a curated record. The transcript has 2 exons. NCBI's taxonomy places the organism in Eukaryota, Viridiplantae, Streptophyta, Magnoliopsida, Sapindales, Anacardiaceae.
UGGGCCUGAUGCAUACAUCUGUUCAUUUCUUUAUCCUCCCAAAUUCUGUCAAUUCUCUUUUCACCCUUUAGUUUCUCUUCUGCAAAAACGGUCAUCCAUCCACAAGUUCUCUUCCUCUUUUGUAGGUAUUCGGUGGAAACUUCAAUUUCAUUCGCACAUACAGGUUGUCACUGAGACUGACUCAAAAAUCAUAAUGCUUUCAACCAUCGGUCUGGUAAUCUCUCAAAAAUCGAUCACAAUGGUAUAUUUUCUAGAUCCCUAGAGUGUAGCACUAUUGGUGCAAAGAGAAAUUUUAACCUUCGUCUUUAUUGUAUAACAAUGUUGCCUACCGAGAAUGAGUGUAUUAUGUAAGGUGCUGUUAGUUUAAGCUUGCAUAAUUUGAAUUUAUUUUUGUCAUGUUCACAUUGUUUUGUCUUGUUUUAGUGUUUUUCAAGCCUAUAGGCAAUAUAUUUGGGUUAUUUUUGGGUUACAGUAUCAAGAUUUGAGGGAAAAAAGUAGGUUUUAUUCAAAAAGAUUAUUGGGCCCGCUGCA